Molecule: long non-coding RNA, 3484 nt
Filed under: Equus asinus (donkey)
Lineage: Eukaryota; Metazoa; Chordata; Mammalia; Perissodactyla; Equidae
Description: lncRNA (ENSEASG00005033989.1)
Source: RNAcentral
CUCUCAUUCUCCACUUACGCUAACUCAUGUGACCUCACGUGCAGCCCGCCCCGGGAGGCACGAUCACGAUCACUGCCCGCCUUCCGGCUGUGGCACUGAGGCCCAGGAAGAGGUGGACCGCCUCCGCCCUCGGGGCCGCCUGCCGCGGAGGACAGGCCGGGGAGACGCGGCCCGCAGAGCCGUGCGCUCGGCCGCCACUCAAGACGAACAGGGUCCGCCCGUGGCCGGGAGGGAGGCGCGGGCCCACGGCCCGGCGCCCGGCGCCCGCUCACCCCCGGCCGGUCCGGGGCACCCAGCGUGGGCGCUCGGGAGGCCGGCGCGCAGGCCGGCAGAGGGAGCUGAGCCCACGCGCCCCGCCCGGGCCGCGCCUCGCCCGCAACCCGCGCCGCCGCCCCAGGGACCGAGGCGCGUGCCAGGGCGGGCUGCGCAUGCGCGUGCGCACGGCGGGGCGCGGCGCGGCGUGUGCACGCGAGCCGGGGGCGGGCGGCGGCCGGGGGCGCAUGCGCACCGGGGCGCCGAGGCUGGAGGCGUGCCCGGCUCAGGAGAGCGGUGCUUUCGGUCCAGUCUGCUUCUCGCUGGCGGGCGCCGUAAGCAUCAGCGUCCCCGCAAGUUCCCACUUCGGCUGCGGGAAGCAGGAGUGUGUGCAGGGAACGGAACGCUCGGCUCCGCGGCGUGGAGUAGCAGAUAGAAGGAGCUCGGUCCGCAGGAGCGCGGUGGCGGCGGUGCGGAACUGCCGGCGCCGGCCCCGGAGCCCCCCGUGGUUUCUUAGGCCCGCCGUCGCCGGCUGUGCGGGGUUUUGUUUAACUGUUGGUGAAUAAGACUUCUAGUCCGAUGGUCCGGGUCCCAGCCCUGCCCACCCCUGGCUUUGAGCCAGGCACGUCUUAUUCCUGAGCUCUUUAUUCCCAUUGUUACAGCGGGCAGGGUGCGCCGCUGUUCAACACUGCACUUGUUAAAUCGAAGGAAACAGCCUGGCCGGUGGCUGACUCACGCGCGCGCUUGCAGCGGGUGCCACGGCCUGGGCCUGGCCUGGCUCACCUGCGGGGGGCCCAGUGAGGGACCAGACCUUGCAGUGAAAGGGGUAGCGUUGAAAGUGCGGUAGAGGACAGAGUGGAGGCCAGGCGUGAGUUCUGCGUGGCAGGAGGGGGAGUCCGCGCAGGUUCCACCCAGGAGAUGACCUCUAAACUGGGCCUUGAAGAUGAGGUGGCAGUGGGCCGCUCCUGGCAAAAGGGAUGCCUGAAAGCCUGCACGGGCCAUCGAUGUGUCUGGAGAGUUCUGAGAAUGGCUGCCAGACCAGUGUUGGGCGUGUGGGUAGACAGUAGGUGGGCUUGGAGGGGGACAGGGGGAAAGAGUGUGGAGGGCCCCCAGUGCCCCUGCAAGUGGUGAAAAGCUGCAGAGGGUCCUCAGGCAUGGAACUAACAACAGAUGUGUGUUUCAGUAAAGCGACUCUGGCAGGAACCAGAUAGGAAUUGUAUUUGUACAAAGGGGAUGUUGGAGGAAGGAAGUUAAUUUCAGCCCGGGGAGUGCAGUGGGGAUGGAGAUGGAAGCAGGAUUUAAGCAGGAUUUCAGAGAGAUUUUGGAGAUAGUCAACAGGCGUCACUGGCUACCCAUCACAGCUGAAUCUAAGAUGACUCCUACUUCUGGAGAACCAGGGGGACUGAGUCAUUAAGACAUUUGAGUUUCUGUGAAGUGCAGACCUUGUGCCAGGUGCUCAGCAUCCGAGAUAAAAAAGACCUAGUCUCUGCCCUUAAGGCGUUUGUCGUUGAAUCCAGGAGGUGGAUGCGUAACUAGGUGAUUAUAUCUCUGUACACGUGGUGACGAGCAUCACGUGUCCCUGCCUGAGCCUGAGGUGGGGUUGGGGCAGGGAGGGCUUCCCGAAGGAGGGAGGCCUGAGCGUCAGGGAAACUGGAAUUGCCAGGCAAUAUGAGCAUCUGAGGCACAGAAAGUGUGUGAGCAGGAAGGCCAGGCCGUUUGUGAUGUGUUUGGAGAGUUAGAAGCAGACACUGGAGUGGAGAGGAUCUCAUUGAGCCAGAGAGGAGCUGGCUCUCGGAGUUUAACGGUGUGGAUGCAAACUACUAGGGGUCUCAUGGGAGGAACCCAGGCCCAUGGGGCUUUGCCAGGAGCCUGCCUUCUCUCAACAUCCACACCCUCAUGAGCUCGGUGUGACCAUCCCGUUUUUACUGAUGGUGGGAUUGAGUGAGGCGGAGCGAGGUUAGAGCGACUCGCAGCCCUGGGAAGGCCGAAGCCCCCUGACCGAGUGUGUCGCUUGCUGGUCCUGGCCUUGGAGACUCAGGCGUGCUGGUGCGGAGACGGAGCAUGGGGGCGACUGGGGGAGUCUCGGGUGCUGCUUGGAGCGGGGAGCUGACGGGCAGGGAAGGCUGGGCGGUUGGUUCAGCACGGGCCACCGCGGAGGGACGCUCAGGCCAACGUGGGCCUCUCAGCAGGGUUCCAUGCGGUGGCCUGCUCAGUGCAUCCGGCCCGGAGAGUUGGCUGGAAGCAGCGUGUGAUCUGGUUUGGUAAGUGGAUAAGGCGUGGGCACUGAUAAAGCUCUUAAGUUUAUUAGUGGGCUUUUUUAAAAAAGCUUUCCUGUGCUUUUAAAUAUUGACUCUGUUGCUUCAACCUGUUUUCCUUUGGACACGUAUGUGCCUUUGGCAUAUGAGAGUCCCCUGAGGGUGCCGGUGAAGAUGUGUGCCACGAGCCCACACUGCCUCCACAGUGGUGGCUGCCAAAACGAACAGCUGUGAAAUGACUUGUCGGGAAGGGUGUGACAGCGUGCUGGAAGAGAUUCGGCUCCCGGCCAAAUAACUUUACCACCUGAAGUCCCGGGCGGCUGUGUCGAGGGCCCCGCUGAGGCUGCCUGAGGACCCGAGCGCGUGGCCCACAGAGCCCCGCACGGUGCUCGCUGCGGACAGCGUGCUGCCCGGUCGUUGUGUGUGCGCCUCUGGGUACAUGCACAGUGUUCCCCCUGUAUGUGCAUUUAUGUGCGUAAAAGUAUAGCUACGUGCUGAAGUUUUUAUGAGUAAAAGGAGAAAAAAGGGGCCGGCCUGGUGGCGCAGCAGUGAAGUUCGCAUGUGCCACCUGGGUGCGGACAUGACACCGCUCGGCAAGCCAUGCUCUGGCAGGCGUCCCACAUAUAAAGUAGAGGAAGAUGGGCAUGGAUGUUAGGGCAUCUUCCUCAGCAAAAAGAGGAGGAUUGGCAGCAGAUGUUAGCUCAGGGCUAAUCUUCCUCAAAAAACAAAAAAGGAGAAGAAAAAGGGCAUGAGGGGGUGGGUAGAAAAGAUGGCAGCACGCUGGUGGUAAUUGAAGCUGGAUGAUGGCCACGUGGGAGUUCCGUCUACUCUUCUCUCUGCUUCUGUGUACAUUUGAAAAUUCUAAAAUAAAAAGGUCUAAAGAUAUGUAGAGUAUUUAAACAUUUGUUUAAGCCUUUGAUCCGCUCUCUACCCUCUGCGCCCAGCCUUGCCCAGACGCUGUGCUGGGCGUCUGGACG